UAGACGGUUUGAAACAUGGA
This 20-nucleotide microRNA is filed under the name Schistosoma japonicum. RNAcentral's name for it is "sja-miR-3498". The record is from miRBase by way of RNAcentral. Lineage: Eukaryota; Metazoa; Platyhelminthes; Trematoda; Strigeidida; Schistosomatidae.